GGGGCCUUGGCGCAGCUGGUUAGCGCAUUCGGCUCAUAACCGACCGGGCCUGGGUUCGAGCCCCAGAGGCCCCACCA
This 77-nucleotide transfer RNA is filed under the name Phocaeicola vulgatus. Its description in RNAcentral is "Bacteroides vulgatus tRNA-Ile". It matches the Rfam family "tRNA". Rfam says of the family: Transfer RNA (tRNA) molecules are approximately 80 nucleotides in length. Their secondary structure includes four short double-helical elements and three loops (D, anti-codon, and T loops). Further hydrogen bonds mediate the characteristic L-shaped molecular structure. tRNAs have two regions of fundamental functional importance: the anti-codon, which is responsible for specific mRNA codon recognition, and the 3' end, to which the tRNAs corresponding amino acid is attached (by aminoacyl-tRNA synthetases). tRNAs cope with the degeneracy of the genetic code in two manners: having more than one tRNA (with a specific anti-codon) for a particular amino acid; and 'wobble' base-pairing, i.e. permitting non-standard base-pairing at the 3rd anti-codon position. RNAcentral also lists the same sequence under 1 other name. Lineage: Bacteria; Pseudomonadati; Bacteroidota; Bacteroidia; Bacteroidales; Bacteroidaceae. The record is from RNAcentral.